This is a non-coding RNA of Desulfovibrio sp., 85 nucleotides long. The record is from Rfam. Lineage: Bacteria; Pseudomonadati; Thermodesulfobacteriota; Desulfovibrionia; Desulfovibrionales; Desulfovibrionaceae.
GCCGAGGUGGUGGAAUUGGUAGACACGCUAGCUUGAGGGGCUAGUGGAAGUUAAUUCCGUGGGGGUUCGAGUCCCCCCCUCGGCA